RNAcentral lists this ribosomal RNA (253 nucleotides) under uncultured bacterium. RNAcentral's name for it is "partial 16S ribosomal RNA". It matches the Rfam family "Bacterial small subunit ribosomal RNA", at positions 524 to 776 of the family's 1533-position model. The record is from RNAcentral.
UACGUAGGGCGCAAGCGUUGUCCGGAAUUAUUGGGCGUAAAGAGCUCGUAGGUGGCUUGUUGCGUCUGCCGUGAAAGCCCGUGGCUUAACUACGGGUCUGCGGUGGAUACGGGCAGGCUAGAGGCUGGUAGGGGCAAGCGGAAUUCCUGGUGUAGCGGUGAAAUGCGCAGAUAUCAGGAGGAACACCGGUGGCGAAGGCGGGUCUCUGGGCCGAUACUGACGCUGAGGAGCGAAAGCGUGGGGAGCGAACAGG